RNAcentral lists this ribosomal RNA (252 nucleotides) under uncultured microorganism. Its description in RNAcentral is "partial 16S ribosomal RNA". It matches the Rfam family "Bacterial small subunit ribosomal RNA", at positions 524 to 776 of the family's 1533-position model. The record is from RNAcentral.
UACGUAGGUCCCGAGCGUUGUCCGGAUUUAUUGGGCGUAAAGCGAGCGCAGGUGGUUUAAUAAGUCUGAUGUAAAAGGCAGUGGCUCAACCAUUGUGUGCAUUGGAAACUGUUAGACUUGAGUGCAGUAGAGGAGAGUGGAAUUCCAUGUGUAGCGGUGAAAUGCGUAGAUAUAUGGAGGAACACCGGUGGCGAAAGCGGCUCUCUGGACUGAUACUGACACUGAGGUGCGAAAGCGUGGGGAGCAAACAGG